AUUGAACGCUGGCGGCAGGCCUAACACAUGCAAGUCGAACGGUAACAGGAAGCAGCUUGCUGCUUUGCUGACGAGUGGCGGACGGGUGAGUAAUGUCUGGGAAACUGCCUGAUGGAGGGGGAUAACUACUGGAAACGGUAGCUAAUACCGCAUAACGUCGCAAGACCAAAGAGGGGGACCUUCGGGCCUCUUGCCAUCGGAUGUGCCCAGAUGGGAUUAGCUAGUAGGUGGGGUAACGGCUCACCUAGGCGACGAUCCCUAGCUGGUCUGAGAGGAUGACCAGCCACACUGGAACUGAGACACGGUCCAGACUCCUACGGGAUGCAGCAGUGGGGAAUAUUGCACAAUGGGCGCAAGCCUGAUGCAGCCAUGCCGUGUGUAUGAAGAAGGCCUUCGGGUUGUAAAGUACUUUCAGCGGGGAGGAAGGGAGUAAAGUUAAUACCUUUGCUCAUUGACGUUACCCGCAGAAGAAGCACCGGCUAACUCCGUG
This 490-nucleotide ribosomal RNA is filed under the name uncultured bacterium. Its description in RNAcentral is "partial 16S ribosomal RNA". It matches the Rfam family "Bacterial small subunit ribosomal RNA", at positions 30 to 507 of the family's 1533-position model. The record is from RNAcentral.